UACUCCCGUAGGGAAGCGAAGACCCCGUGGAGCUUAACUGCAGGCUGCUGUUGGGGUUUGAUUAACUAUGUAAAGUGUAGGCGGGAGCCUUCGAAGCCAAGCCGCUAGGUUUGGUGGAGGCACUCAUGUAACACCGCCCAUUGUUGACCGGAUCCCUAACUACUACGGUAGAACAGCAGUAGUUGGGCAGUUUCGCUGGGGCGGCAGCCCCUCGAAAAUUUAUCGAGGGGGUCCAAAGGUCGGCUUAGGCGGGUCAGAAAUCCGCCGUAAAGGACAAGGCCAGAAGCCGGCCUAACUGUGUCCUCCCCCAGGAGGACGCAGGGGCGAAAGCCGGGCCUAGCGAACCCCGAUGUCCCUCUUGUUGAGGGCUCGGGAUGACAGAAAAGCUACCCCGGGGAUAACAGAGUAGUCUCCCCCAAGAGCCCGUAUCGACGGGGAGGCUUGCUACCUCGAUGUCGGUUCUUCGCAUCCUGGCCGUGCAGCAGCGGCCAAGGGUAGGGUUGUUCGCCCGUUAAAGCGGAUCGUGAGCUGGGUUUAGACCGUCGUGAGACAGGUCGGACGCUAUCUUGCGGGAGUGAUGGAUGCCUGAGGGUAAGGUAGCUUCAGUACGAGAGGAACGAGUUGCCGGCGCCUCUAGUGCACCGGUUGCUCGAAAGGGCAUAGCCGGAUAGCCACGCGCCAGUCGAUAAGGCCUGAAAGCAUCUAAGGCCGAAGCGAUUCCCGAAAAUAGGCAUCCGAUCUUGACGAGUAUGCCGGGGCUGGUGACAGUCACGGUGCGUCAGGACAAAGACAGGGGCUAGAAGACCCCGUUGAUGGGCUGGGGGUGUAAGCGUGAAGCUUCAGCGACACGUUCAGCCCACCAGUCCCAACAGUCU
RNAcentral lists this non-coding RNA (875 nucleotides) under candidate division MSBL1 archaeon SCGC-AAA382F02. RNAcentral's name for it is "candidate divison MSBL1 archaeon SCGC-AAA382F02 Archaeal large subunit ribosomal RNA". It matches the Rfam family "Archaeal large subunit ribosomal RNA", at positions 2144 to 2973 of the family's 2987-position model. The record is from Rfam by way of RNAcentral. Lineage: Archaea; Methanobacteriati; Methanobacteriota.